Molecule: long non-coding RNA, 432 nt
Organism: Lagopus muta (rock ptarmigan)
Lineage: Eukaryota; Metazoa; Chordata; Aves; Galliformes; Phasianidae
Exons: 3
Source: RefSeq, a predicted model, not a curated record
AACAUAUUUGUGUGUAAUUUCAGAAUGUGGACUUCAUUCCAUAGUCUUACACUGAAGAAAAAAGAGCUACAAAGAAUAAUGAUCCAUGGAUUCUAGAGAGGGACAUGGGUACAUGCAAUUGUCCAGCUGCUGUGAGUCAGCUUGGUGUGGUGGAAGCUUAUGAUGUGAGAUGUGCAGUGGUUACCAUAGCAUAUAGCAAAUGAAGGUGUGCAAGCAUGAGGGAACGAACAUGACCCCUAACAGCAGGAUGAAUAAUGAUUUGGUUGCUAAAGAAGAAAACGGAUGUGGAUGUCUCAGUGUCCACAGAGCAGAAUGCGUGAUGGCUUCACCUACUUGAGAAGUUGCUAUCCUGGGCUGGCAACACUUCUGUAAGUUUCCUGUGUCAUUGAGUUAGAGUCACGACUCUGGGACCAGCAGUUACUGUAACAUGGC